UACGAAGGGGGCUAGCGUUGCUCGGAAUGACUGGGCGUAAAGGGCGCGUAGGCGGCUCAUACAGUCAGAUGUGAAAUUCCUGGGCUUAACCUGGGGGCUGCAUUUGAUACGUGUGGGCUUGAGUGGGGAAGAGGGUCGUGGAAUUCCCAGUGUAGAGGUGAAAUUCGUAGAUAUUCGGAAGAACACCAGUGGCGAAGGCGGCUCACUGGCCCGGUACUGACGCUGAGGUGCGAAAGCGUGGGGAGCAAACAGG
Molecule: ribosomal RNA, 253 nt
Filed under: uncultured bacterium
Lineage: Bacteria
Description: partial 16S ribosomal RNA
Rfam family: Bacterial small subunit ribosomal RNA
Source: RNAcentral